GACGAACGCUGGCGGCGUGCUUAACACAUGCAAGUCGAACGGAAAGGCCCUGCUUGCAGGGUGCUCGAGUGGCGAACGGGUGAGUAACACGUGGGUGAUCUGCCCCUUAUUUUGGGAUAAGCCUGGGAAACUGGGUCUAAUACUGGAUAGGACCAUGCUGUAGGUGGUGUGGUGGAAAGAUUAGUUUCGGUAAGGGAUGAGCUCGCGGCCUAUCAGCUUGUUGGUGGGGUAAUGGCCUACCAAGGCGUCGACGGGUAGCCGGCCUGAGAGGGUGGACGGCCACAUUGGGACUGGGAUACGGCACAGACUCCUACGGGAGGCAGCAGUGGGGAAUAUUGCACAAUGGGCGCAAGCCUGAUGCAGCGACGCCGCGUGGGGGAUGACGGCCUUCGGGUUGUAAACUCCUUUCAGCCAUGACGAAGCCCUUGUGGUGACGGUAGUGGUAGAAGAAGCACCGGCUAACUACGUG
Molecule: ribosomal RNA, 469 nt
Filed under: uncultured bacterium
Lineage: Bacteria
Description: partial 16S ribosomal RNA
Rfam family: Bacterial small subunit ribosomal RNA
Source: RNAcentral